AAUUGCUUUAGAAUUUGCGGUCCUAAAUCAGCGGCUUAACGCGGCUGAGGUUCUUUAACAAUUGGGUCAGAUUAUUUGUGUGGGCGCUGGCUGAGGUGGUCGACAGAUCAUCAAAGGUCAGUGCUCGUUGAUUCGAGUGCGGUCUUUGAGCUUGUAUAAGAUGCUUCGGCAUCGAAUGAUUUAAACUGAAGAGUUUGAUCAUGGCUCAGAUUGAACGCUGGCGGCAGGCCUAACACAUGCAAGUCGAGCGGUAACAGGUCCUUCGGGAUGCUGACGAGCGGCGGACGGGUGAGUAAUGCAUGGGAACUUGCCCAGUAGUGGGGGAUAGCCCGGGGAAACCCGGAUUAAUACCGCAUACGCCCUGAGGGGGAAAGCGGGCCUUUGUGCUCGCGCUAUUGGAUGGGCCCAUGUCGGAUUAGUUUGUUGGUGGGGUAACGGCUUACCAAGGCGACGAUCCGUAGCUGGUCUGAGAGGAUGAUCAGCCACACCGGGACUGAGACACGGCCCGGACUCCUACGGGAGGCAGCAGUGGGGAAUAUUGGACAAUGGGGGCAACCCUGAUCCAGCCAUGCCGCGUGUGUGAAGAAGGCUUUCGGGUUGUAAAGCACUUUCAGUCGGGAGGAAAAGCUAGUCGUUAAUACCGGCUAGUGUUGACGUUACCGGCAGAAGAAGCACCGGCUAACUCCGUGCCAGCAGCCGCGGUAAUACGGAGGGUGCAAGCGUUAAUCGGAAUUACUGGGCGUAAAGGGCGCGUAGGCGGUUUGGUAAGCGAGUUGUGAAAGCCCCGGGCUCAACCUGGGAAUGGCAAUUCGAACUGCCAGGCUAGAAUGCAGCAGAGGGUAGUGGAAUUCCAGGUGUAGCGGUGAAAUGCGUAGAUAUCUGGAGGAACACCAGUGGCGAAGGCGACUGCCUGGGCUGACAUUGACGCUGAGGUGCGAAAGCGUGGGUAGCAAACAGGAUUAGAUACCCUGGUAGUCCACGCUGUAAACGCUGAGAACUAGUCGUUGGGGCUAUUGAAGCCUUAGUGACGCAGCUAACGCGAUAAGUUCUCCGCCUGGGGAGUACGGCCGCAAGGUUAAAACUCAAAUGAAUUGACGGGGGCCCGCACAAGCGGUGGAGCAUGUGGUUUAAUUCGACGCAACGCGAAGAACCUUACCUGGUCUUGACAUCCUGCGAACUUGCUAGAGAUAGCUUGGUGCCUUCGGGAGCGCAGUGACAGGUGCUGCAUGGCCGUCGUCAGCUCGUGUCGUGAGAUGUUGGGUUAAGUCCCGUAACGAGCGCAACCCUUGUCCUUAGUUGCCAGCGGUCCGGCCGGGAACUCUAGGGAGACUGCCGGUGACAAACCGGAGGAAGGUGGGGAUGACGUCAGGUCAUCAUGGCCCUUACGGCCAGGGCUACACACGUGCUACAAUGGGGCGCACAGAGGGCAGCUAAGCCGCGAGGUGCAGCGAAUCCCUUAAAACGCCUCGUAGUCCGGAUCGGAGUCUGCAACUCGACUCCGUGAAGUCGGAAUCGCUAGUAAUCGCAGAUCAGAAUGCUGCGGUGAAUACGUUCCCGGGCCUUGUACACACCGCCCGUCACACCAUGGGAGUGGACUGCACCAGAAGCGGUUAGUCUAACCUUCGGGAGGACGAUCGCCACGGUGUGGUUCACGACUGGGGUGAAGUCGUAACAAGGUAGCCGUAGGGGAACCUGCGGCUGGAUCACCUCCUUAU
Molecule: ribosomal RNA, 1715 nt
Filed under: Halospina denitrificans
Lineage: Bacteria; Pseudomonadati; Pseudomonadota; Gammaproteobacteria
Description: bacterial SSU rRNA
Rfam family: Bacterial small subunit ribosomal RNA (bases 183-1714)
Source: RNAcentral